This 446-nucleotide ribosomal RNA is filed under the name uncultured bacterium. RNAcentral describes it as "bacterial SSU rRNA". It matches the Rfam family "Bacterial small subunit ribosomal RNA", at positions 331 to 793 of the family's 1533-position model. The record is from RNAcentral.
CCAGACUCCUACGGGAGGCAGCAGUGGGGAAUAUUGCACAAUGGGGGAAACCCUGAUGCAGCGACGCCGCGUGAGGGAAGAAGUAUUUCGGUACGUAAACUUCUAUCAGCAGGGAAGAAAAUGACGGUACCUGACCAAGAAGCCCCGGCUAACUACGUGCCAGCAGCCGCGGUAAUACGUAGGGGGCAAGCGUUAUCCGGAUUUACUGGGUGUAAAGGGAGCGUAGACGGCCACGCAAGUCUGGAGUGAAAUCCCGGGGCUCAACCCCGGGACUGCGUUGGAAACUGUGCGGCUGGAGUGUAGGAGAGGCAAGUGGAAUUCCUAGUGUAGCGGUGAAAUGCGUAGAUAUUAGGAGGAACACCAGUGGCGAAGGCGGCUUACUGGACGACGACUGACGUUGAGGCUCGAAAGCGUGGGGAGCAAACAGGAUUAGAUACCCCUGUAAA